GAUGAACGCUGGCGGCGUGCCUAAUACAUGCAAGUCGAGCGAACAGACGAGGAGCUUGCUCCUCUGACGUUAGCGGCGGACGGGUGAGUAACACGUGGAUAACCUACCUAUAAGACUGGGAUAAUUUCGGGAAACCGGAGCUAAUACCGGAUAAUAUAUUGAACCGCAUGGUUCAAUAGUGAAAGACGGUUUUGCUGUCACUUAUAGAUGGAUCCGCGCCGCAUUAGCUAGUUGGUAAGGUAACGGCUUACCAAGGCAACGAUGCGUAGCCGACCUGAGAGGGUGAUCGGCCACACUGGAGCUGAGGCACGGUCCAGGCUCCUGCGGGAGGCAGCAGUAGGGAAUCUUCCGCAGUGGGCGAAAGCCUGACAGAGCAACGCCGCGUGAAAGAUGAAGGUCUUCGGAUCGUAAAGCUCUGUUAUUAGGGAAGAACAAAUGUGUAAGUAACUAUGCACGUCUUGACGGUAACUAAUCAAAAAGCCACGGCUAACUACGUG
Molecule: ribosomal RNA, 497 nt
Filed under: uncultured bacterium
Lineage: Bacteria
Description: partial 16S ribosomal RNA
Rfam family: Bacterial small subunit ribosomal RNA
Source: RNAcentral